Molecule: small nuclear RNA, 105 nt
Filed under: Tursiops truncatus (common bottlenose dolphin)
Lineage: Eukaryota; Metazoa; Chordata; Mammalia; Artiodactyla; Delphinidae
Source: RNAcentral
UCUGCUGGCUUCAGCAGUACAUACUCAAAUUAGAGUAAUACAGAGAAAAUUAGCAUGGCCUCUCAGCAAGAAUGACAUGCAAAUUCAGAAGCAUUCCGUAUUUCA